AACGAACGCUGGCGGCAGGCUUAACACAUGCAAGUCGAACGAGAUCUUCGGAUCUAGUGGCAGACGGGUGAGGAACACGUGGGAACAUCCCUUUCAGUUCGGAAUAACGUUGGGAAACUAACGCUAAUACCGGAUACGUCCUUCGGGAGAAAGCUUUAUCGCUGAAAGAUUGGCCCGCGUCUGAUUAGCUAUUUGGUGAGGGAAUAGCUCAACAAGGCUACGAUCAGUGGCCGACCUGAGAGGGUGAUCAGCCACAUUGGAACUGAGACACUGUCCAAACUCCUACGGGAGGCAGCAGUGGGGAAUAUUGCACAAUGGGCGAAAGCCUGAUGCAGCAACGCCGCGUGAGCGAUGAAGGCCUUCGGGUCGUAAAGCUCUGUCCUCAAGGAAGAUAAUGACGGUACUUGAGGAGGAAGCCCCGGCUAACUACGUGCCAGCAGCCGCCGUAA
This 449-nucleotide ribosomal RNA is filed under the name uncultured bacterium. RNAcentral's name for it is "partial 16S ribosomal RNA". It matches the Rfam family "Bacterial small subunit ribosomal RNA", at positions 29 to 523 of the family's 1533-position model. The record is from RNAcentral.